RNAcentral lists this ribosomal RNA (503 nucleotides) under uncultured bacterium. RNAcentral's name for it is "bacterial SSU rRNA". It matches the Rfam family "Bacterial small subunit ribosomal RNA", at positions 24 to 518 of the family's 1533-position model. The record is from RNAcentral.
UCAGGACGAACGCUGGCGGCGUGCUUAACACAUGCAAGUCGAACGAGGAUAUACCAGAGGAGAGCUUCGGCAGGAAUCGGGUAUAUUCGAGUGGCGGACGGGUGAGUAACGCGUGAGCAACCUGUCCCAGACAGGGGGAUAACACUUGGAAACAGGUGCUAAUACCGCAUAAGACCACGGUAUCACAUGGUAGUGGGGUAAAAGGAGCAAUCCGGUUUGGGGUGGGCUCGCGUCCGAUUAGAUAGUUGGUGAGGUAACGGCCCACCAAGUCGACGAUCGGUAGCCGACCUGAGAGGGUGAUCGGCCACAUUGGAACUGAGAGACGGUCCAAACUCCUACGGGAGGCAGCAGUGGGGAAUAUUGGGCAAUGGGCGAAAGCCUGAACCCCCAGCAACGCCGCGUGAGUGAAGAAGGCCUUCGGGUUGUAAAGCUCUGUUAUAGUUGACGAAGGAAGUGACGGUAGGCUAUAAGGAAGCCCCGGCUAACUACGUGCCAGCCGCUGC